Molecule: small RNA, 107 nt
Filed under: Marinobacter mobilis
Lineage: Bacteria; Pseudomonadati; Pseudomonadota; Gammaproteobacteria; Pseudomonadales; Marinobacteraceae
Description: t44 RNA
Rfam family: t44 RNA
About the family: This family consists of a number of bacterial RNA genes of between 135 and 170 bases in length. The t44 gene is found between the map and rpsB genes in all species in the full alignment apart from Shigella flexneri. The function of this RNA is unknown.
Source: RNAcentral
AAACAAAUCCGGCAAAUUCGCACACGCGUCGGCACGUUGUCCCAGGGUGCCUGCUUCUUAUUAGAUAAGAGGCUGGUUGGGGCAAUCGGACGUGUGGAGGACUAACC